UCCUACGGGAGGCAGCAGUAGGGAAUCUUCCGCAAUGGACGAAAGUCUGACGGAGCAACGCCGCGUGAGUGAGGAAGGCCUUCGGGUCGUAAAGCUCUGUUGUGAGGGAAGAAGCGGUACCGUUCGAAUAGGGCGGUACCUUGACGGUACCUCACCAGAAAGCCACGGCUAACUACGUGCCAGCAGCCGCGGUAAUACGUAGGUGGCAAGCGUUGUCCGGAAUUAUUGGGCGUAAAGCGCGCGCAGGCGGCUUCUUAAGUCUGAUGUGAAAUCUCGGGGCUCAACCCCGAGCGGCCAUUGGAAACUGGGGAGCUUGAGUGCAGAAGAGGAGAGUGGAAUUCCACGUGUAGCGGUGAAAUGCGUAGAGAUGUGGAGGAACACCAGUGGCGAAGGCGACUCUCUGGUCUGUAACUGACGCUGAGGCGCGAAAGCGUGGGGAGCAAACAGGAUUAGAUACCCUGGUAGUCCACGCCGUAAACGAUGAGUGCUAGGUGUUAGGGGUUUCGAUGCCCGUAGUGCCGAAGUUAACACAUUAAGCACUCCGCCUGCGAGUACGCAGUCUAGUG
This 566-nucleotide ribosomal RNA is filed under the name Bacillus sp. A5. RNAcentral describes it as "bacterial SSU rRNA". It matches the Rfam family "Bacterial small subunit ribosomal RNA", at positions 337 to 894 of the family's 1533-position model. The record is from RNAcentral. Lineage: Bacteria; Bacillati; Bacillota; Bacilli; Caryophanales; Bacillaceae.